CGGGGUGUAGCUCAGCUUGGUAGAGUGCUCGCUUUGGGAGCGAGAGGCCGCAGGUUCAAAUCCUGUCACCCCGA
Molecule: transfer RNA, 74 nt
Filed under: Candidatus Nesterenkonia stercoripullorum
Lineage: Bacteria; Bacillati; Actinomycetota; Actinomycetes; Micrococcales; Micrococcaceae
Description: tRNA-Pro
Rfam family: tRNA
About the family: Transfer RNA (tRNA) molecules are approximately 80 nucleotides in length.
Source: RNAcentral